Molecule: ribosomal RNA, 236 nt
Filed under: uncultured Candidatus Saccharibacteria bacterium
Lineage: Bacteria; Candidatus Saccharimonadota
Description: partial 16S ribosomal RNA
Rfam family: Bacterial small subunit ribosomal RNA
Source: RNAcentral
UAAGUUGGUAGUGAAAGCGUGUGGCUCAACCAUACAUCCAUUACCAAAACUGCUUUAGCUAGAGGAUGAGAGAGGUUAUUGGAAUUCCCUGUGUAGGAGUGAAAUCCGUAGAUAUAGGGAGGAACACCGAUGGCGUAGGCAGAUAACUGGCUCAUUCCUGACACUAAGGCACGAAAGCGUGGGGAGCAAACGGGAUUAGAUACCCCGGUAGUCCACGCCGUAAACUAUGGAUGCUA